GAGUUUGAUCGUGGCUCAGAUUGAACGCUGGCGGCGUGCCUAACACAUGCAAGUCGAGCGGUAACAGGUGUAGCAAUACAUGCUGACGAGCGGCGAACGGGUGAGUAAUGCUUCGGAAUCUUCCCAGUUGUGGGGAAUAACUAGCCGAAAGGUUAGCUAAUACCGCAUACGUCCUACGGGGGAAAGCAGGGGAUCGCAAGACCUUGCGCUAUUGGAUGAGCCGAAGUCGGAUUAGCUAGUUGGUAGGGUAACGGCCUACCAAGGCGACAAUCCGUAGCUGGUCUGAGAGGACGACCAGCCACACUGGGACUGAGACACGGCCCAGACUCCUACGGGAGGCAGCAGUGGGGAAUAUUGGACAAUGGGGGAAACCCUGAUCCAGCGACGCCGCGUGUGUGAAGAAGGCCUGCGGGUUGUAAAGCACUUUUAGUGGGGAUGAAAAGCCGAAGGCUAAUACCUUUCGGUCUUGACCUAACCCACAGAAAAAGCACCGGCUAACUCUGUGCCAGCCGCCGCGGU
This 519-nucleotide ribosomal RNA is filed under the name uncultured Gammaproteobacteria bacterium. RNAcentral's name for it is "bacterial SSU rRNA". It matches the Rfam family "Bacterial small subunit ribosomal RNA", at positions 9 to 521 of the family's 1533-position model. The record is from RNAcentral. Lineage: Bacteria; Pseudomonadati; Pseudomonadota; Gammaproteobacteria.